RNAcentral lists this ribosomal RNA (504 nucleotides) under uncultured bacterium. Its description in RNAcentral is "partial 16S ribosomal RNA". It matches the Rfam family "Bacterial small subunit ribosomal RNA", at positions 29 to 523 of the family's 1533-position model. The record is from RNAcentral.
AUUGAACGCUGGCGGCAGGCCUAACACAUGCAAGUCGAACGGUAGCACAGAGAGCUUGCUCUCGGGUGACGAGUGGCGGACGGGUGAGUAACGUCUGGGAAACUGCCCGAUGGAGGGGGAUAACUACUGGAAACGGUAGCUAAUACCGCAUAACGUCGCAAGACCAAAGUGGGGGACCUUCGGGCCUCACACCAUCGGAUGUGCCCAGAUGGGAUUAGCUAGUAGGUGGGGGAAUGGCGCACCUAGGCGACGAUCCCUAGCUGGUCUGAGAGGAUGACCAGCCACACUGGAACUGAGACACGGUCCAGACUCCUACGGGAGGCAGCAGUGGGGAAUAUUGCACAAUGGGCGCAAGCCUGAUGCAGCCAUGCUGCGUGUAUGAAGAAGGCCUUCGGGUUGUAAAGUACUUUCAGCGGGGAGGAAGGCGGUGAAGUUAAUAACUUCACCGAUUGACGUUACCCGCAGAAGAAGCACCGGCUAACUCCGUGCCAGCCGCCGCGGUAA